CAGGCACUGGGUCAGGCGCGCCGCGCCGCGGAGAACUUCCGCUUCUUCGCGGACCUGACCGUCGCCCAGAUCGACGACGCCUAC
This 84-nucleotide transfer RNA is filed under the name Kocuria marina. RNAcentral describes it as "tRNA-Gly". Lineage: Bacteria; Bacillati; Actinomycetota; Actinomycetes; Micrococcales; Micrococcaceae. The record is from RNAcentral.